GUCUGACCGGGCCAAGUUUCGGUAUUCUUGUAAGGAUCAUGAUAUAUGUAGGGCUAACUAUUUGGUUUUCAAUAACGUGACGUUUUCUGUCCUUUUAUACCAUUUUAUUUUCAGGUCUAAAUUUUCAGUCUUGUAAUGCAUGUUAUCUAUCUAAUAAUAAGGUGUUAUAUGUGUUCUGUCUUGAAUUAAAAUUACAUAUGUCUUGAUGAUGCUUUGUUUCCAGGUCCAGCUGUGAAGAUUAAUAUGCCAACUCAAACUACAAUUGAAAACAACCUCACCAGAGCCAGCAGCCAGGAGCAGCAGCAGUACAGCUACAGAGAACAUGGUUUGUUUUGAAGCUGAACUGGAAGAAGAUGCCCUGUUCUACACCUGACACCUUAUAAGGCUCAGCGAGAGGAGAAUGACCCACAGUGCCUUUUGCAUAAUUCAAAGAGGCGUCAAAUGUUGGUUGAGAUGCUACACGACCAGGGGGCAAGAUCAGAUCAUUUACACGUUUUUGCAUUAUUUGAUAGCGCGUUAUUGAAAGAUUUUUUUUAUAUUUACAUAUUUUUAAGUGUUAUUAAGAUUUACAAUCAUACAUAUCAUUAUUAAUAUUUGCUUGUAUUAAAAAAAUAACAUUGAUAUAAUUAAAAAUGUCAUGUGAGAAUAAAGUCCGUUUUAAGAUGUAAACUUUGUGUUAGUGUGCAAAGUCUUGUAUGGAUCAUGACAUAUGUAGGGCUAACUUUUUAUUUUUAAUAGCGUGAGGUUUUUUGUCGUUUUAUACAAUUUUAUUUUCAGGUAUAAAUUUUGAGUCUUGUAAUGCAUGUUAUUUGUCUGAUAAUAAGGUGUUAUAUGUGUACUGUCUUGAAUUAAAAUGACAUAUGUCCGGCU
Molecule: long non-coding RNA, 870 nt
Organism: Gadus morhua (Atlantic cod)
Lineage: Eukaryota; Metazoa; Chordata; Actinopteri; Gadiformes; Gadidae
Exons: 2
Source: RefSeq, a predicted model, not a curated record